ACUUUCACAUCCUACUAAAAUUGCCCUUAAGAGUUCCCCAAAAAUUCCAGGUUGUCGUAUUCUUUUCUCAGAUUUCACUCUUCUGAAAUUCCCUCUGGCAUUUGAUAGUGAUAGUCAGCCUAUCCUUUAUGAAAAUAUCUAUCCUUUGUUUUUGUGAAUCUGUAAUCACUUAAUAAUAUGGUUUGACUGUAUCCCCACCCAACUUUUAUCUUGAAUUGUAGCUCCCAUAAUCCCCAUGUGUGAUGGGAGAAACCCAGUGGGAGGUAAUUGAGUCAUGGAGUAGUUGCCCGCAUGCUAUUCUUGUGAUAGUAAGCUUUCAUGAGAUCUGAAGGUUUUAUAAUGGGCUUCCUCUUUCACUAGGCUCUCAUUCUUCUCCCUGCCACCAUGUGAAGAAGGACAUGUUUGCUUCCCCUUCCACCAUGAUAGUAAGUUUCCUGAGGCCUCUCCAGCCCUACAGAACUAAUAUAUCUCCGAAAAUGACAUGGCCUUCACUUCCUAAGACACAGAUAUU
This 511-nucleotide long non-coding RNA is filed under the name Papio anubis (olive baboon). RNAcentral describes it as "lncRNA (ENSPANG00000049367.1)". The record is from RNAcentral. Lineage: Eukaryota; Metazoa; Chordata; Mammalia; Primates; Cercopithecidae.